Chenopodium quinoa (quinoa) is the source of this 630-nucleotide long non-coding RNA. RefSeq lists it as uncharacterized. The transcript is spliced from 4 exons. Lineage: Eukaryota; Viridiplantae; Streptophyta; Magnoliopsida; Caryophyllales; Amaranthaceae. The record is from RefSeq and is a predicted model, not a curated record.
ACCAACCUUAAGCUGAAAACUAAAAAUAUGACAUCUUAACCGUCGAUUGUUGACCCAUCAAAUUUUACGGUCGAGAUUUUUUCCCCCAAUGUUCAUGCAAAAUGUCUACAAUUUCUAUCUCCUCCUUCAUUUGCACGUUAUUUUCUUCCUCCUCUACCUUCUCUCUCCUACUUUUUGCCAAUUUCAUGCUACUUCUUCAAAUCCAGCUUCAAUUACUUUGAUUUUCAGCAAUUUCUUAGCUCUACGAUCUACUAUCAAUCAAAUUGAGCGAUUUGAGUAUAAAUUUGGCAAAUACAAAACCUAGAUUGAUCAAGAACAAAUUGAAGAAAAAUAUCCUUCAAAUUCACGCUCAAUUCUCCGACCUCAAUUGCCGGAAAUAAUUGCCGAUGAAGUCUUCAUCGCAAUGCUUGAAGCUUUGUGAUUUUGGAUUUGCUCGUGCCAUGUCAAUAAACACUGUUGUACUUCGCUCCAUCAAAGGUACUCCAUUGUACAUGGCUCCUGAGCUUGUUCGCGAACAGCCAUACAAUCACACAGUUGACUUGUUGUCAAAAUUGAUAUAAUUACCUUAUUUUUAUAUAUAGUGUCCUUCGUUAUUUUUAUAUAUAGUGGCCUCUGUAUAAAUGUGAUCAA